This 466-nucleotide long non-coding RNA is filed under the name Mytilus galloprovincialis (Mediterranean mussel). Lineage: Eukaryota; Metazoa; Mollusca; Bivalvia; Mytilida; Mytilidae. The record is from RNAcentral.
CUUUGUAAAUUUGUUGCAAAUUGAAUGAGAUUAGCUUACUGCAAUCCAUACAGAAUAUGGAUCAGAAGAAAAGCUAUAAACAGACCAGAUGGCCAUGUGAGCCUUUGUCAUUACUUGGCAUUUGUUGAACUGCCAUAUACUUUUUUCCAAGUUUCUUCUCUGAAAUUACUAAUCUAAUUCAAUUAAAUUUUGAGUGAAUGAUCCCAUGUAGAAAGUUUUGUGCUUUUCUGGUUAGUCAACAUACAUGGCCUAAAAAUACAACGCCUGAAUGAAAAGCAGUUUUUAACUAUUAAAGCAGUUACAGCAAAACUUACAUACAUGUAGGUAAAAUUGAUCAGCAGACAUAUAGAACUGUUAUGUUGUUGGUUGCAUAUUCAUUGUUUAAGCCAUACUCAACUAAUUUAGGUGUGCAUCUUAGUGUAUACCUGGUAUGCUUUAGUUCUAGAAACAGGAUUUGUCUCAAUUU